UACAGAGGGUGCGAGCGUUGUCCGGAAUCACUGGGCGUAAAGGGCGCGUAGGCGGCCUGAUAAGUAGGGGGUGAAAUCCUGUGGCUUAACUGCAGGGCUGCCUCCUAGACUGUUAGGCUCGAGCACGGUAGAGGCAGAUGGAAUUCCCGGUGUAGCGGUGGAAUGCGUAGAGAUCGGGAAGAACAUCGGUGGCGAAGGCGGUCUGCUGGGCCGUUGCUGACGCUGCGGCGCGACAGCGUGGGGAGCAAACAGG
Molecule: ribosomal RNA, 253 nt
Filed under: uncultured bacterium
Lineage: Bacteria
Description: partial 16S ribosomal RNA
Rfam family: Bacterial small subunit ribosomal RNA
Source: RNAcentral